UCUGCGGAAAGUAGCUUGCUACUUUGCCGGCGAGCGGCGGACGGGUGAGUAAUGUCUGGGGAUCUGCCUGAUGGAGGGGGAUAACUACUGGAAACGGUAGCUAAUACCGCAUAACCUCGCAAGAGCAAAGUGGGGGACCUUCGGGCCUCACGCCAUCGGAUGAACCCAGAUGGGAUUAGCUAGUAGGUGGGGUAAUGGCUCACCUAGGCGACGAUCCCUAGCUGGUCUGAGAGGAUGACCAGCCACACUGGAACUGAGACACGGUCCAGACUCCUACGGGAGGCAGCAGUGGGGAAUAUUGCACAAUGGGCGCAAGCCUGAUGCAGCCAUGCCGCGUGUGUGAAGAAGGCCUUCGGGUGAAAGCACUCAUCACCCCACGACAAGA
RNAcentral lists this ribosomal RNA (385 nucleotides) under Yersinia ruckeri. Its description in RNAcentral is "bacterial SSU rRNA". It matches the Rfam family "Bacterial small subunit ribosomal RNA", at positions 66 to 450 of the family's 1533-position model. The record is from RNAcentral. Lineage: Bacteria; Pseudomonadati; Pseudomonadota; Gammaproteobacteria; Enterobacterales; Yersiniaceae.